GGGAGCUGUGGGCAAGCGAGGAUAUAGUCAGCGCCCAGGGAACUCGUACCAUGGGAAGUUGGGCCUCUGGUGAUCGCGGAUGGGUGGCAAUUUCUCGCCGAGGUUGAUCUCCGCCGCAAAACCAAACCUCGACGUGGUCAGAUCUUCUACCACACCAAUCUCCGGUAAAUCUUUGACCGUUGUGUUGACCUCGUUCUCCUCCAUGCGUGGCACUAAUUAGGGUAGGUUUUGGUGCACUGGCGCGACGGAGGGCAGGGACUCCGGCGGGUCAUGGCCACGUCAGUGAGCGGCGCCGUCGCGCGUCUGGUACAAGUGAAGAAGAUGGCGCUGCUCCGUCCGAUCCGAUCUAUGCGGUCUGGAGUGCUCGGACAUAGCGCUUCGAUUUUAUUAAAGCUUGGCCGUGCGAUCUUGAUCGGGUGGCCGAGGAUUGGAUUAAGCGUUGGCGUAACGUUGUUCGUCGAUCUCUGAUCUGGCGGUAGUGGGUUCGUACCGGUUAUAAAACGGAUGGUUUAAUCUUGGCGGUCCAAUACAGAUCGAACGGCUCUGGUUGCUUCUUACCUCUUCGUCGUUGGUUUGUUUUCUUAAGAGCCCCUGGAGAUCUUAAGAAUCUACCCGUAGUACUACUCAGGUAUAGCUGUGUCUGGGAAAACUUAUAUCUUGGCCCCUGUCCUUUCUGGAAUUUGACGUCCAGUCCAGUGAACCAAGAAAAUAGUAAAAAUAAUAUAGUAAAUAAUUUUUAGUACAUAAAUAAACCCAGAAACUCAAUAAAUUCAUAGCAAAUUUAUAUUAAAUUCUUUUUUGUCCGUUCCAGUUCCUAUAAUUUUGUAUUAAUAUUUUAUAUUACUUAGUAGCACUGUUUUAUCAUGAAAACCCUACUAGAAUUGAUUACUCAAUUAAUUUUGUAGCAAACACAUACGAACUUCGAAAAUCCAUAACCUCUUCGUUUUAAAUCCGAUUUAACCCGUUCCAGUUGUGUUAGCUUCUUAUAAAUAUUUACUAUGCAGUAACAACAUUGAUUAUACCAUGUAUCAUACUUUUAUAAUUAGAUAUUUAUUUAUUCUAUGAUAAUUGGAUUAAUCUAUGUCUAUUGGAUUAACUUCUGAUCUUAUGGUUAUAAUUUGACUAGAUGACCUUUGGUCAAGUAAUGACUUAGAUUAAAAUUGGGUUAACUAAUUAUAAGAUAUUCUCUCAUAUGAUGUAUACUAACCAAUUUAUAUUAUAGUUUAAUAUUUUAAUCACAUAGAUCUUCUAUAAAAUCAUAACUCCUUAAUCGUGACUCCGAUUUUAGUAAUUCUUGUUCCUACGAUCUCGUAGCGACACGUAGAUUAUUAUAACACAGUUUAUUCUUAUGUUUGGUGUGAUGUUAAUUUUUCCUAUACAUGUUUGUUUGUAUUGCUACGACUAG
Molecule: long non-coding RNA, 1405 nt
Filed under: Zea mays
Lineage: Eukaryota; Viridiplantae; Streptophyta; Magnoliopsida; Poales; Poaceae
Description: long non-coding RNA (ZMAY_LNC003366)
Source: RNAcentral